Molecule: ribosomal RNA, 518 nt
Filed under: uncultured bacterium
Lineage: Bacteria
Description: partial 16S ribosomal RNA
Rfam family: Bacterial small subunit ribosomal RNA
Source: RNAcentral
AACGAACGCUGGCGGCGUGCCUAACACAUGCAAGUCGAACGGGGAUAGGGAGCUUGCUUCCUAUUCUAGUGGCGCACGGGUGAGUAACGCGUAGAUAAUCUGCCUGACGAUCCGGGAUAACAUCUCGAAAGGGGUGCUAAUACCGGAUAAGCCCACGGGGUCUUUGGAUCUUGCGGGAAAAGGGGGGGAACUUUUGGCCUUCUGUCGUCAGAUGAGUCUGCGUACUAUUAGCUAGUUGGUAGGGUAAAGGCCUACCAAGGCUACGAUGGUUAGCUGGUUUGAGAGAAUGAUCAGCCACACUGGAACUGAGACACGGUCCAGACUCCUACGGGAGGCAGCAGUGGGGAAUUUUGCGCAAUGGGCGAAAGCCUGACGCAGCAACGCCGCGUGAGUGAUGAAGGCUUUCGGGUCGUAAAGCUCUGUCGAGGGGAAAGAAGUGUAUUGUGGCUAAUAUCCGCGAUACUUGACGGUACCCCUAAAGGAAGCACCGGCUAACUCCGUGCCAGCAGCCGCCGUAA